UGUGUGAGAGAGAGAGAGAGAGAGAGAGAGAGAGAGNNNNNNNNNNNNNNNNNNNNUUAGUAGUAGAGAGAGAGAGAGAGAGAGAGAGAGAGAGAGAGAUGGGGGGUUGCUACUGUUACUGAAUUGAAGCAGAGUGUUUCAGGGAAAAGAACAUUUCGAUCAAGUUUAAGCACCCGGCAUGCCGUCGAAUGGUAACACUAUCUUCUUCUUCUGAACUUCUUCUGAAAUUAAUAGCCUUCCAAGUACUAAAUAUUGAGUUUUCUAUUCAUUUUCCCAUAAUUGAGUUGUUUGUUCUGGUAUGUAAUUUAGUUAGCAUCCCAGGUGUAAUUUGUUCCAUGGACUUGUUUACAUUGAGAAAGGCUGUUAGAGGGAAUUUCUAUUCCAUGAUCUCUUUAUUCUUUCAGGGAAAUAGUUCUCUCUUUUCUUUAUUUUUCUUUUUUUAAAAAAGGUGACAGUCCUAUCCAUAAAUUGUGUGAUGAGAUGUUUGUGUGUGUGUGUGUGUUUCUGUCUGUCUUAAUGCAAAUAUUACGAAUAUUUAUAUUAAGAUAUGUAUAACAGUGAGGAAACAUUGCAGUCCCAGGUAAAUAAAUCAAUAUAAAAAAGUUCAAUUGCUAUCAGAGAUUUAUUAGAAAUUACUAUGUGAUCUGAUAUCUCAGCCAACUAAUAUAUUGUGUUUCAUCUCCUAAGCCAUCCGCCAAAGGGUUAAAAAGUACGAGUUGCAUGCUACAUCUCAUGGAGUACAUUCAGUGAUUUGAAUCUUCUAGCACUUCCAGAUACUUAUUAGAAGAGAGAGAGAGAGAGCAGAAAAAAUGACACUAAUUAGACAGAUAUUAAUCAAAAGGAAGAAGCCAAUCAUUAC
RNAcentral lists this long non-coding RNA (859 nucleotides) under Elaeis guineensis (African oil palm). Its description in RNAcentral is "long non-coding RNA (EGUI_LNC012383)". The record is from RNAcentral. Lineage: Eukaryota; Viridiplantae; Streptophyta; Magnoliopsida; Arecales; Arecaceae.